This 253-nucleotide ribosomal RNA is filed under the name uncultured bacterium. RNAcentral's name for it is "partial 16S ribosomal RNA". It matches the Rfam family "Bacterial small subunit ribosomal RNA", at positions 524 to 776 of the family's 1533-position model. The record is from RNAcentral.
UACGUAGGUGGCAAGCGUUGUCCGGAUUUACUGGGCGUAAAGGGCGCGUAGGCGGCCCUGCAAGUCAAAGGUGAAAUCCCUCGGCUCAACUGAGGAACUGCCUUUGAAACUGCGGGGCUUGAGGCCGGGAGGGGGUAGCGGAAUUCCCAGUGUAGCGGUGAAAUGCGUAGAUAUUGGGAGGAACACCAGUGGCGAAGGCGGCUACCUGGACCGGUUCUGACGCUGAUGCGCGAAAGCGUGGGUAGCAAACAGG